RNAcentral lists this ribosomal RNA (539 nucleotides) under Xylariaceae sp. CHTAR03. RNAcentral's name for it is "eukaryotic LSU rRNA". It matches the Rfam family "Eukaryotic large subunit ribosomal RNA", at positions 86 to 648 of the family's 3401-position model. The record is from RNAcentral. Lineage: Eukaryota; Fungi; Ascomycota; Sordariomycetes; Xylariales; Xylariaceae.
ACGGCGAGUGAAGCGGCAACAGCUCAAAUUUGAAAUCUGGCCCUCGCGGUCCGAGUUGUAAUUUGUAGAGGAUGCUUUUGGUUAGGUACCUUCCGAGUUCCCUGGAACGGGACGCCAGAGAGGGUGAGAGCCCCGUACGGUUGGAUACCGAGCCUCUAUAUAGCUCCUUCGACGAGUCGAGUAGUUUGGGAAUGCUGCUCUAAAUGGGAGGUAAAUUUCUUCUAAAGCUAAAUACCGGCCAGAGACCGAUAGCGCACAAGUAGAGUGAUCGAAAGAUGAAAAGUACUUUGAAAAGAGGGUUAAAUAGCACGUGAAAUUGUUGAAAGGGAAGCGUUUGCGACCAGACUUUUUCCGGGCGGAUCAUCCGGUGUUCUCACCGGUGCACUUCGCCCGGUUUAGGCCAGCAUCGGUUCUCCUAGGGGGAUAAAGGCGGGGGGAACGUGGCUCCUUCGGGAGUGUUAUAGCCCCCCGCGUAAUACCCCUCGGGGGACCGAGGAACGCGCAUCUGCAAGGAUGCUGGCGUAAUGGUCGCCAACGAC